GCGCAAGAAGGAAGGGCUUGAAGGGAGGGAAAAGGGCGAUUGUAAGGGUGUGUAUGCGAGGCAUGGAAAAGUGGGUGGGGACAAGGGUCGCCAGUGAGCAGCAGUCCGUCAGUCAACCCUCCCGCGCGCGCGAGAGCCCCGCGAGCACUACUGCAUUCCUAGAGUGUGGUGGGUAGUGCACACACACACAUACACACAUAAAACGCCCUUUGAAAGACACUCGACCGGCUGAGCGAUGGGAGGAGUUUUCCCGCCGGCUGAUAGGAAGGAAUGAGGAAGGUCACUAAAGAGGCACCCAUCUUCCUUUCGAACGGCACCUCCUCUCACCAAGGACAGUGCCACUUCUGCAGACGGCAGAUGGAAAGAGAAGAAGAUUUCUCGUCGCGGGAAAAUAAGGAGGAUGGGAAAGGAAAUAGGGAAGUAGUAGAAGGAAGGAAGGAAUGAUUGGGGCGUGGCCUGGUACCACCUGCGUGAAGGCAUCAUUUCCCGCGCGCGCACACGCGCACGGGAAGAUAGAGAAAGAGAGAUCACAGAGUGGUACGUCUUCGUUUUUCUUUUCGUGUCAUU
Molecule: non-coding RNA, 567 nt
Organism: Caenorhabditis elegans
Lineage: Eukaryota; Metazoa; Nematoda; Chromadorea; Rhabditida; Rhabditidae
Source: Ensembl